This 253-nucleotide ribosomal RNA is filed under the name uncultured bacterium. Its description in RNAcentral is "partial 16S ribosomal RNA". It matches the Rfam family "Bacterial small subunit ribosomal RNA", at positions 524 to 776 of the family's 1533-position model. The record is from RNAcentral.
UACGUAGGGUGCAAGCGUUAAUCGGAAUUACUGGGCGUAAAGCGUGCGCAGGCGGCUUUGCAAGACAGAUGUGAAAUCCCCGGGCUCAACCUGGGAACUGCAUUCGAGACUGCAUUGCUCGAGUAUGGGAGAGGGAAGUGGAAUUUCCGGUGUAGCGGUGAAAUGCGUAGAUAUCGGAAGGAACAUCAGUGGCGAAAGCGACUUCCUGGACCAAUACUGACACUCAAGUGCGAAAGCGUGGGGAGCAAACAGG